UUCGGUGGUUAUGGCGGAGGAAAAAACGCUCCAUCCCAUCCCGAACUGGAAAGCGAAAGCCUCCUGCGGCAAUGGUACUACGUCCUAAGGCGUGGGAGAGUAGCACGCUGCCGGAC
This 116-nucleotide ribosomal RNA is filed under the name Holosporaceae bacterium. Lineage: Bacteria; Pseudomonadati; Pseudomonadota; Alphaproteobacteria; Holosporales; Holosporaceae. The record is from RNAcentral.